RNAcentral lists this ribosomal RNA (441 nucleotides) under uncultured bacterium. RNAcentral's name for it is "partial 16S ribosomal RNA". It matches the Rfam family "Bacterial small subunit ribosomal RNA", at positions 338 to 795 of the family's 1533-position model. The record is from RNAcentral.
CCUACGGGGGGCAGCAGUCGGGAAUAUUGCGCAAUGGAGGAAACUCUGACGCAGUGACGCCGCGUAUAGGAAGAAGGUUUUCGGAUUGUAAACUAUUGUCGUCAGGGAAGAUAAAAGACUGUAUCAAAGGAGGAAGCCCCGGCUAACCAUGUGCCAGCAGCCGCGGUAAUACAUAGGGGGCAAGCGUUAUCCGGAAUUAUUGGGUGUAAAGGGUACGUAGGCGGAAGAACAAGUUGGUUGUGAAAUCCCUCGGCUCAACUGAGGAACUGCAACCAAAACUAGUCUCCUUGAGUGUCGGAGAGGAAAGUAGAAUUCCAGGUGUAGCGGUGAAAUGCGUAGAUAUUAGGAGGAACACCAGUGGCGAAGGCGACUUUCUGGACGAUAACUGACGUUGAGGCGCGAAAGUGUGGGGAGCAAACAGGAUUAGAUACCCGAGUAGUC